Molecule: ribosomal RNA, 483 nt
Filed under: uncultured bacterium
Lineage: Bacteria
Description: partial 16S ribosomal RNA
Rfam family: Bacterial small subunit ribosomal RNA
Source: RNAcentral
GACGAACGCUGGCGGCGUGCUUAACACAUGCAAGUCGAAUGAUGAAGCUGGAGCUUGCUCCGGUGGAUUAGUGGUGAACGGGUGAGUAACACGUGAGCAAUCUGCCCUUGACUCUGGGAUAACUGCGGGAAACUGUAGCUAAUACCGGAUACUUUCACUGGAAGGCAUCUUCUGGUGAAGAAAGAAUUUCGGUCAAGGAUGAGCUCGCGGCCUAUCAGCUUGUUGGUGAGGUAACGGCUCACCAAGGCGACGACGGGUGGCCGGCCUGAGAGGGAGACCGGCCACACUGGGACUGAGACACGGCCCAGACUCCUACGGGAGGCAGCAGUGGGGAAGAUUGCACAAUGGGCGCAGCCUGAUGCAGCGACGCCGCGUGAGGGAUGAAGGUCUUCGGAUUGUAAACCUCUUUCAGUAGGGACGAAGCGAAAGUGACGGUACCUAAAGAAGAAGCACCGGCUAACUACGUGCCAGCCGCCGCGGUAA